This 274-nucleotide long non-coding RNA is filed under the name Elaeis guineensis (African oil palm). Its description in RNAcentral is "long non-coding RNA (EGUI_LNC014248)". Lineage: Eukaryota; Viridiplantae; Streptophyta; Magnoliopsida; Arecales; Arecaceae. The record is from RNAcentral.
GCGACUCAGUGGUUGAACCCGAAUCAUUAGGUUGGUCAAAUCGAAACUAGUUAACCAAUUGGUGUCUAAGGUAAGUUUGGCAUUUUGAUUGAUGAUUUUUAAUUGGGAGCAGCUUACCUAACCAUCGAUGAUGUCUAAGACAAGCUUAACAGAUCCUCCUAUCGAUCUUACUUAUCUGACCAAUUUGGUGAACUAGAUUUUGAUUAGAUUGCUAAGUGAUUCGAGUUAUUAGUCCAUGCCAUUAGGAUUGAUCAGUGUGACUGAUCUAGGUGCC